ACGGGUGAGUAACGCGUGGGUAACCUGCCUUAUACAGGGGGAUAACAGCUGGAAACGGCUGCUAAUACCGCAUAAGCGCACAGCUUUGCAUGAAGCAGUGUGAAAAGAUUUAUCGGUAUAAGAUGGACCCGCGUCUGAUUAGCUGGUUGGUGGGGUAACGGCCUACCAAGGCGACGAUCAGUAGCCGGCUUGAGAGAGUGAACGGCCACAUUGGGACUGAGACACGGCCCAAACUCCUACGGGAGGCAGCAGUGGGGAAUAUUGCACAAUGGGGGAAACCCUGAUGCAGCGACGCCGCGUGAGUGAAGAAGUAUUUCGGUAUGUAAAGCUCUAUCAGCAGGGACGAUAAUGACGGUACCUGACUAAGAAGCCCCGGCUAACUACGUGCCAGCAGCCGCGGUAAUACGUAGGGGGCAAGCGUUAUCCGGAUUUACUGGGUGUAAAGGGAGCGUAGACGGUGAUGUAAGUCAGAUGUGAAAGCCCAGGGCUCAACCCUGGGACUGCAUUUGAAACUAUGUCGCUAGAGUGCAGGAGAGGUAAGUGGAAUUCCUAGUGUAGCGGUGAAA
This 566-nucleotide ribosomal RNA is filed under the name uncultured bacterium. Its description in RNAcentral is "bacterial SSU rRNA". It matches the Rfam family "Bacterial small subunit ribosomal RNA", at positions 102 to 686 of the family's 1533-position model. The record is from RNAcentral.